RNAcentral lists this ribosomal RNA (253 nucleotides) under uncultured bacterium. Its description in RNAcentral is "partial 16S ribosomal RNA". It matches the Rfam family "Bacterial small subunit ribosomal RNA", at positions 524 to 776 of the family's 1533-position model. The record is from RNAcentral.
UACGAAGGGGGCUAGCGUUGCUCGGAAUCACUGGGCGUAAAGCGCGCGUAGGCGGCUUCUUAAGUCAGGGGUGAAAUCCUGGAGCUCAACUCCAGAACUGCCCUUGAUACUGCGAGGCUCGAGUCCGGGAGAGGUGAGUGGAACUGCGAGUGUAGAGGUGAAAUUCGUAGAUAUUCGCAAGAACACCAGUGGCGAAGGCGGCUCACUGGCACGUAACUGACGCUGAGGCACGAAAGCGUGGGGAGCAAACAGG